ACUUUUAUUGGACAGCAGCCGUCC
RNAcentral lists this transfer RNA (24 nucleotides) under Agama boulengeri. RNAcentral's name for it is "partial tRNA-Leu". Lineage: Eukaryota; Metazoa; Chordata; Lepidosauria; Squamata; Agamidae. The record is from RNAcentral.